GUGGAUUGGGUGGAGGUGCUGGUGGUGGUAUUGGAGCUGGCGGGGGGCUAGGUGGUGGUGCUGAUGGAGGUGGAGGAGGUGGAGGUGGCGGCUUAGGUGGUGGUGUUGGUGCUGGAGGUGGUUUUGGUGCUGGUGGAGGAGCUGGAGCUGGAGCUGGAGCUGGAGGAGGUCUUGGUGGUGGUGCUGGAGGAGGUGGAGGGUUCGGUGGUGGCCUAGGCGGUGGAGCUGGUGCAGGAGGAGGUUUUGGAGCUGGAGGUGACCUUGGCGCAGGUGGUGGAUUUGGUGGUGGUGGCGGUGUCGGCGGUGGUUUUGGUGCUGGUGGUGGUUUCGGAGCCGGUAUCGGUGCUGGUGGCGGUGGUCACUGACGUGACUCAAUUUAAUAGAGUUUUCUUGUUCACGUCCAGAAUAGUUCAUGCAAAAUAGUUCAUUGUGGAUUUGUGGGUACGUAAAGCAAGCAAGUUCUUCUUAGGUUAUAAAAUUUGGAGAGUAUCUCUGCAACUUAAUUUGUAAGUCCUAUGCGUCACUGGGUUUUUUUUUCCUUUUUAUUUUGAGGGUGUAAGUCUUGUGUCACUGCUUAGUUACAUCUAAAUGAAUUUGUUUUCUAAGUAAAUUAUCUUAGGAACAUGGUA
Long non-coding RNA from Macadamia integrifolia, 629 nucleotides. RefSeq lists it as uncharacterized. Lineage: Eukaryota; Viridiplantae; Streptophyta; Magnoliopsida; Proteales; Proteaceae. The record is from RefSeq and is a predicted model, not a curated record. The transcript is spliced from 2 exons.